RNAcentral lists this long non-coding RNA (746 nucleotides) under Pan troglodytes (chimpanzee). Its description in RNAcentral is "long non-coding RNA NONPTRT004532". Lineage: Eukaryota; Metazoa; Chordata; Mammalia; Primates; Hominidae. The record is from RNAcentral.
GUUGUUUUUGUUUUGUUUUGUUUUGUUUUGAGAUGAGGAGUCUCGCUCUGUCCCCCAGGCUGGAGUGCAGUGGUGCCAUCCAAUUUCUUUAUUCCAAGGAAAAGAACUAUGGAGAUGGUCCACUCAGCAUCUACUGGUGAGUUAUUCUCCUCAAAAUUUGGGUCAUUCAUGUCUCUGCUGCUACCAAUGCUAAUAUGCCCCCAUGAAACUUUGAGCCAUCUAGGAGUCCUUUCUCUGAUGGAUUGUGCCAAAGCUAAAGGACUUUCUUCAAUACAACUCAUGGUGAAAUCAGCUGUUGACAGAUGUAUAUGUUCUGGUGAAAUCUGUCAUUGGCAACUCAUGAUACUGAAAAAAUAACAAAAUAUUUCACCCCAAAUAUUUAUUUUUUGCCAUCUGAGGGCCUACAAAUAGAAGAAACUUUUGCAAAGGUAUCUUCUGUGGGGCAAAUUUGCAUUUGUAGAGAAAGUCUGCAUUGAUAUAGUCAGGCUUUCUCUAAGGCCCUCCCUUAUCCAGGUUCAGGAAGGAUUAACUAGGAGUCUGACAUUUUAAAAUAUUGGUGUAUAAGAAUGGUUGUGAUUUUUGUACAUUGAUUUUGUAUCCUGAGACUUUGCUGAAGUUGCUUAUCAGCUUAAGGGGAUUUUGGGCUGAGACAAUGGGGUUUUCUAGAUAUACUAUCAUGUCAUCUGCAAACAGGGAUAAUUUGACUUCCUCUUUUCCUAAUUGCAUACCCUUUAUUUCCUUCUCCU